GGAGAAAAACCCUCUCUCCCUGGCUCCCGAGGCGGCCGCCUUUCACGCUCCAGCACAGUCUCGCCUGUGUUGUUCCGAUCAGUGACACCCCAGUUUGCGCAUGAGAGAGAUCUAAGCGUGUGCAUGGUCCCUAGAGAUGCUCAGGGGUAAACGAACAGGCACGUCCACAGCAACCACCUAAUGGCAUCUUUUUAUUCUCUUACAAAUGUCUGCCUGCGCUGGGGGCUUGAAUUUUUAACAGUGAGUUGGAAGCAGUAUGGAUUUAUUCACCCACUUCUGAAUCCAAACGUUCUUUGCAAUGGAGACCUAACUCUUCUCACCCUGAACGUGGAGGGUUUCCUUGCAAGGACCCCCCCAGACCCRGAUUUUAAUUGCAUGUAUUGAAAGGGCAGGGGUGGGACACAGGUUGUGAUGAGAGUCACCCUCUUGUCUCCACCRAAGUCACUUUGCAGGAGAGCUGAGGACAAUUUCCAAGCUCCCUCCCCUCUGGGGUGACUCCCCGCUUCCUGGGGCUGGCAAGUUACGGUGGCCUCUGGACCACGCGCUGUCUCCGAGACUGUUAGUACGACCAGGAUGCAACAGAAAUGCUGGCGCUUACCGGAGGCGACGUGGGACGGGGCCCCGGAGCUGCUCCUCUGCCCAGGCUGGUCCGGUGGUGCCGUCUCGCAGCCGGCGAAGGAAGCAGAAAGCAGCCUGCAGUGAAUUUUGACUUGCCUCCUGCUCUCGUCUGCCGCAACGGACUCUUCUGCCCUGGCUCCCAGCUCCAGCCCCGGCACAGCGCUGGUGGGAGCUAGGGUGACCCAUGGAGAUCAAAGGGGAUUGAGUGCAUCUCCCAAGAAGCCAGACCCCAAAUCCCAGAGCAAGGCUGGGCCUGGAACAGCCCAGUCAGAGACCCCCUCUGCCCCCUCUGGAUUUGCAAGGUCUUGAGCUCAGCAGAGAGGACGAGAGGCAGGAACRGAGGAGGACUGUGCUAGCUUGUGUCCCUACUUGCAUGAAGUCAUAUGGAAGCCAUCAGGCCUGCUCCCUCCAGCCCCUUUGCAACCCUGUGGCGGAGGAGCUGCAGCCCACGAGAUGGCACCAGAGCCUUUCCUCAGACGAGGCAAACCAGCGCCUUGCUGCAGCCCUGGCGCCCCUGGACACCCUGAAGGCACCCCUGGGUGCCAGGCAGCCCUUCAUCCCCACAAGGCCCUUCCAGAGAUGCCCCGUGAGAGGUGCAUCUCACUGCACCCAGCACCAGCCGGGUCCCGAGGAGGAAGGAUGGGGCUUGCUUUUCACCAGCAUCUCUAUGCGGAGGCAGGUAAGCCAGUUACAUUACACAGGCAGUUUAUUUGCAAGGAAGAUAGCGUGCUGCAAAGGGAGUAAGUGCCAGCACUUCCUAAAAUAGCCUAACACCGGCAACUGUCCCUAAAGGGGGGAGGGGGGGUCUGCUUGACUUGUGUCACUUGCACAAGUGCUGGGUGUUCAGACCACCUGCUGAGUCAAGCUGGUUCUCCAAAAAAAAAUACCACAUACACAAAAUCGCGGGAUGCUUCUUGGUUUUGCCUUAGUAUUUCACAGGGUGGGCUGACUUGCUGAGGUUCCUCAGCGGAGAUCUGGGAUCAAGCCCCAGAGAGCUAAUACUGCCUGGCUUCUUGAGUGGGAGAUGCUCAAUAACCACGGACUACGCCGUGUCUGAAGCACGUCAGCGGUGUAGCAGUCCAAGGCAGGGGCUGCUGGGUCCUAAGGGAAAAAUGAGACUUUCUUCAGUGCCACUUCCUGACGAAAGCGCAUCAGAGCCCUGUUUGAG
Apteryx owenii (little spotted kiwi) is the source of this 1786-nucleotide long non-coding RNA. The record is from Ensembl. NCBI's taxonomy places the organism in Eukaryota, Metazoa, Chordata, Aves, Apterygiformes, Apterygidae.